This 1648-nucleotide ribosomal RNA is filed under the name Escherichia coli. RNAcentral describes it as "partial 23S ribosomal RNA". It matches the Rfam family "Bacterial large subunit ribosomal RNA", at positions 233 to 1906 of the family's 2925-position model. The record is from RNAcentral. Lineage: Bacteria; Pseudomonadati; Pseudomonadota; Gammaproteobacteria; Enterobacterales; Enterobacteriaceae.
GAUUCCCCCAGUAGCGGCGAGCGAACGGGGAGCAGCCCAGAGCCUGAAUCAGUAUGUGUGUUAGUGGAAGCGUCUGGAAAGGCGCGCGAUACAGGGUGACAGCCCCGUACACAAAAAUGCACAUAUUGUGAGCUCGAUGAGUAGGGCGGGACACGUGGUAUCCUGUCUGAAUAUGGGGGGACCAUCCUCCAAGGCUAAAUACUCCUGACUGACCGAUAGUGAACCAGUACCGUGAGGGAAAGGCGAAAAGAACCCCGGCGAGGGGAGUGAAAAAGAACCUGAAACCGUGUACGUACAAGCAGUGGGAGCACGCUUAGGCGUGUGACUGCGUACCUUUUGUAUAAUGGGUCAGCGACUUAUAUUCUGUAGCAAGGUUAACCGAAUAGGGGAGCCGAAGGGAAACCGAGUCUUAACUGGGCGUUAAGUUGCAGGGUAUAGACCCGAAACCCGGUGAUCUAGCCAUGGGCAGGUUGAAGGUUGGGUAACACUAACUGGAGGACCGAACCGACUAAUGUUGAAAAAUUAGCGGAUGACUUGUGGCUGGGGGUGAAAGGCCAAUCAAACCGGGAGAUAGCUGGUUCUCCCCGAAAGCUAUUUAGGUAGCGCCUCGUGAAUUCAUCUCCGGGGGUAGAGCACUGUUUCGGCAAGGGGGUCAUCCCGACUUACCAACCCGAUGCAAACUGCGAAUACCGGAGAAUGUUAUCACGGGAGACACACGGCGGGUGCUAACGUCCGUCGUGAAGAGGGAAACAACCCAGACCGCCAGCUAAGGUCCCAAAGUCAUGGUUAAGUGGGAAACGAUGUGGGAAGGCCCAGACAGCCAGGAUGUUGGCUUAGAAGCAGCCAUCAUUUAAAGAAAGCGUAAUAGCUCACUGGUCGAGUCGGCCUGCGCGGAAGAUGUAACGGGGCUAAACCAUGCACCGAAGCUGCGGCAGCGACACUAUGUGUUGUUGGGUAGGGGAGCGUUCUGUAAGCCUGUGAAGGUGUGCUGUGAGGCAUGCUGGAGGUAUCAGAAGUGCGAAUGCUGACAUAAGUAACGAUAAAGCGGGUGAAAAGCCCGCUCGCCGGAAGACCAAGGGUUCCUGUCCAACGUUAAUCGGGGCAGGGUGAGUCGACCCCUAAGGCGAGGCCGAAAGGCGUAGUCGAUGGGAAACAGGUUAAUAUUCCUGUACUUGGUGUUACUGCGAAGGGGGGACGGAGAAGGCUAUGUUGGCCGGGCGACGGUUGUCCCGGUUUAAGCGUGUAGGCUGGUUUUCCAGGCAAAUCCGGAAAAUCAAGGCUGAGGCGUGAUGACGAGGCACUACGGUGCUGAAGCAACAAAUGCCCUGCUUCCAGGAAAAGCCUCUAAGCAUCAGGUAACAUCAAAUCGUACCCCAAACCGACACAGGUGGUCAGGUAGAGAAUACCAAGGCGCUUGAGAGAACUCGGGUGAAGGAACUAGGCAAAAUGGUGCCGUAACUUCGGGAGAAGGCACGCUGAUAUGUAGGUGAAGUCCCUCGCGGAUGGAGCUGAAAUCAGUCGAAGAUACCAGCUGGCUGCAACUGUUUAUUAAAAACACAGCACUGUGCAAACACGAAAGUGGACGUAUACGGUGUGACGCCUGCCCGGUGCCGGAAGGUUAAUUGAUGGGGUUAGCGCAAGCGAAGCU